GAUGAAGAACGCAGCGAAAUGCGAUACGUAAUGUGAAUUGCAGAAUUCAGUGAAUCAUCGAAUCUUUGAACGCAUAUUGCGCUCUUUGGUAUUCCGAAGAGCAUGCUUGUUUGAGUAUCAGUAAACACCUCAAAGACUUCAAUUUGUUUUGAAUGGCUUUGGACUUGAGCAAUCCCAACACCAGUCUUUACGAUCGGUGGAGGGUUGCUUGAAAUGCAGGUGCAGCUGGACAUUCUCCUGAGCUAAAAGCAUAUUUAUUUAGUCCCGUCAAACGGAUUAUUACUUUUGCUGCAGCUAACAUAAAGGGAGUUUGACCGUAUUGGCUGACUGAUGCAGGAUUUCACAAGGGUCGGCAACGAUUCUUGUAAAACUCGAUCUCAAAUCAAGUAAGACUACCCGCUGAACUUAAGCAUAUCAAUAAGCGAGGA
RNAcentral lists this unclassified non-coding RNA (428 nucleotides) under soil metagenome. Its description in RNAcentral is "partial contains 5.8S ribosomal RNA, internal transcribed spacer 2, and large subunit ribosomal RNA". The stretch from base 1 to 120 matches the Rfam family "5.8S ribosomal RNA", at positions 35 to 154 of the family's 154-position model. The record is from RNAcentral.